AUCUCUUUGCCCUUUGGCUUAGGUCAAGUGAAACAACUGUUCAUUUUUGCUCAAUCUCUGAAAUCUCCCUAUGGUGCAGCAAGGAUUAACUAGUUUGUGGACUCGGCUCCUCGGUCACUGAGCUCCGCUCAUAUUCUUGGGGCACAGUGUCGCCUCUACUGCACUGACGGAGGUUGACGCAAUGGGCA
This 188-nucleotide small nuclear RNA is filed under the name Macrophomina phaseolina MS6. Its description in RNAcentral is "U2 spliceosomal RNA". It matches the Rfam family "U2 spliceosomal RNA". Rfam says of the family: U2 is a small nuclear RNA (snRNA) component of the spliceosome (involved in pre-mRNA splicing). Complementary binding between U2 snRNA (in an area lying towards the 5' end but 3' to hairpin I) and the branchpoint sequence (BPS) of the intron results the bulging out of an unpaired adenosine, on the BPS, which initiates a nucleophilic attack at the intronic 5' splice site, thus starting the first of two transesterification reactions that mediate splicing. Lineage: Eukaryota; Fungi; Ascomycota; Dothideomycetes; Botryosphaeriales; Botryosphaeriaceae. The record is from Rfam by way of RNAcentral.